RNAcentral lists this ribosomal RNA (250 nucleotides) under uncultured bacterium. RNAcentral's name for it is "partial 16S ribosomal RNA". It matches the Rfam family "Bacterial small subunit ribosomal RNA", at positions 524 to 773 of the family's 1533-position model. The record is from RNAcentral.
AACGUAGGAGACAAACGUUAUCCGGAGUUACUGGGCGUAAAGGGCGUGUAGGUGGUUUCGUAAGUCUGGCGUGAAAUUUCUCGGCUUAACCGAGGCAGGUCGUCGGAUACUGCGGAGCUAGAGGACGGUAGAGGCGUGUGGAAUUCCGGGUGUAGUGGUGAAAUGCGUAGAGAUCCGGAGGAACACCAGUGGCGAAGGCGACACGCUGGGCCGUACCUGACACUGAUGCGCGACAGCAUGGGGAGCAAAC